RNAcentral lists this ribosomal RNA (408 nucleotides) under Triticum aestivum (bread wheat). RNAcentral describes it as "partial small subunit ribosomal RNA". Lineage: Eukaryota; Viridiplantae; Streptophyta; Magnoliopsida; Poales; Poaceae. The record is from RNAcentral.
AUGCGGCGUGUCAACCUCUCACACAACUCCUUCUCCAGUGGCCUUCCGAUGGAGCUCAUGUCGUCCGGAAGCAUCAUUGUCCUCGAUGUCAGCUUCAACCGUCUCAACGGACUGCUGCCCGAGGUGCCAUAUUUGUCUACCACUGAGCGACCUCUGCAGGUACUCAACGUCUCAAGCAACCAGUUCAGCUCAGAUUUUCCAUCAGCCACAUGGAAGGUGAUGAAGAAUCUGAUCGCGCUCAACGCCAGCAAUAACAGCUUCACUGGGCACAUGUCGUCUUCUCUUUGCAUUGGCUCGCCAUCUUUGGCUUUGCUUGACCUCUCUCACAACCAAUUGAGUGGCCACAUUCCGAAUACACCGGGUAAUUGCUCCAAGCUCAAAGUGCUCAAGCUGGCAACAACCACCUAA